UACGUAGGGGGCAAGCGUUGUUCGGAUUUACUGGGCGUAAAGGGCGCGUAGGCGGCGCAACAAGUCACUUGUGAAAUCUCCGGGCUUAACCCGGAGCGGCCAAGUGAUACUGUCGUGCUAGAGUGCGGAAGGGGCUACUGGAAUUCUCGGUGUAGCGGUGAAAUGCGUAGAUAUCGAGAGGAACACCUGCGGCGAAGGCGGGUAGCUGGGCCGACACUGACGCUGAGGCGCGAAAGCCAGGGGAGCGAACGGG
This 253-nucleotide ribosomal RNA is filed under the name uncultured bacterium. RNAcentral's name for it is "partial 16S ribosomal RNA". It matches the Rfam family "Bacterial small subunit ribosomal RNA", at positions 524 to 776 of the family's 1533-position model. The record is from RNAcentral.